GACGAACGCUGGCGGCGUGCUUAACACAUGCAAGUCGAACGGACAGGCCCUGCUUUUGUGGGGUGCUCUAGUGGCGAACGGGUGAGUAACACGUGAGUAACCUGCCCUUGACUUUGGGAUAACUUCAUGAAACUGGGGCUCAUACCGGGUAGGAGCUACUGCUGAAUGGUGGGGGCUGGAAAGUUUCGGCGGUUGGGGAUGGACUCGCGGCUUAUCAGCUUGUUGGUGGGGUAGUGGCUUACCAAGGCUUUGACGGGUAGCGGGCCUGGGAGGCUGACCGGCCACACUGGGACUGAGAUGCGGCACAGACUCCUACGGGAGGCAGCAGUGGAGAGGAUUGCACAAGGGGCGGAAGCCUGAUGCAGCAACGCCGCGUGCGGGAUGACGGCCUUCGGGUUGUAAACCGCGUUCGCCUGUGACGAAGCGUGAGUGACGGUAAUGGGAAAAGAAGCACCGGCUAACUACGU
This 467-nucleotide ribosomal RNA is filed under the name uncultured bacterium. RNAcentral's name for it is "partial 16S ribosomal RNA". It matches the Rfam family "Bacterial small subunit ribosomal RNA", at positions 28 to 506 of the family's 1533-position model. The record is from RNAcentral.